GCGUAACAGCUCACUAGUCGAGCGAUCGUGCAUGGAUAAUAAACGGGCAUUAAGUAGUACACCGAAGCUAUGGGUAAUAUUUAUAUUACGGUAGGGGAGCAUUCCAGCGGCAGCGAAGUUAUGACGUAAGUUGUGGUGGAGCUUCUGGAAAAGCAAAUGUAGGCAUAAGUAACGAUAAGGCAGGCGAGAAACCUGCCCACCGAAAGGAUAAGGUUUCCUGAUCAACGCUAAUCGGAUCAGGGUUAGUCGGGACCUAAGGAGAACCCGAAGGGGAAAUUCGAUGGACAACUGGUUAAUAUUCCAGUACUUUUUAUAACUGCGAUGUGGGGACGGAGUAGUGACACUGCCGCGAUCUGACGGAAUAGAUCGUUAAAGACUGUAGGU
RNAcentral lists this ribosomal RNA (384 nucleotides) under Pseudo-nitzschia pungens. RNAcentral's name for it is "partial Bacterial large subunit ribosomal RNA". It matches the Rfam family "Bacterial large subunit ribosomal RNA", at positions 1132 to 1525 of the family's 2925-position model. Lineage: Eukaryota; Bacillariophyta; Bacillariophyceae; Bacillariales; Bacillariaceae. The record is from RNAcentral.